AUUGAACGCUGGCGGCAGGCCUAACACAUGCAAGUCGAGCGGAUGAAGGGAGCUUGCUCCUGGAUUCAGCGGCGGACGGGUGAGUAAUGCCUAGGAAUCUGCCUGGUAGUGGGGGAUAACGUCCGGAAACGGGCGCUAAUACCGCAUACGUCCUGAGGGAGAAAGUGGGGGAUCUUCGGACCUCACGCUAUCAGGUGAGCCUAGGUGGGAUUAGCGAGUUGGUGGGGUAAAGGCCUACCAAGGCGACGAUCCGUAACUGGUCUGAGAGGAUGAUCAGUCACACUGGAACUGAGACACGGUCCAGACUCCUACGGGAGGCAGCAGUGGGGAAUAUUGGACAAUGAGCGAAAGCCUGAUCCAGCCAUGCCGCGUGUGUGAAGAAGGUCUUCGGAUUGUAAAGCACUUUAAGUUGGGAGGAAGGGCAGUAAGUUAAUACCUUGCUGUUUUGACGUUACCAACAGAAUAAGCACCGGCUAACUUCGUG
This 484-nucleotide ribosomal RNA is filed under the name uncultured bacterium. Its description in RNAcentral is "partial 16S ribosomal RNA". It matches the Rfam family "Bacterial small subunit ribosomal RNA", at positions 30 to 507 of the family's 1533-position model. The record is from RNAcentral.